AACGAACGCUGGCGGCGCGCUUAACACAUGCAAGUCGAACGAGAAGGCGUAGCAAUACGCUUGUACAGUGGCGAACGGGUGAGUAAUACGUGGGUGACCUACCCUCGAGUGGGGAAAUAACCCGCCGAAAGGCGGGCUAAUGCCGCGUACGCUUCCAUCUUUAUGGAGGUGGAAAGGAAAGCCGUGCCGUGGGCACGGCGCUC
RNAcentral lists this ribosomal RNA (203 nucleotides) under uncultured bacterium. RNAcentral describes it as "partial 16S ribosomal RNA". It matches the Rfam family "Bacterial small subunit ribosomal RNA", at positions 29 to 220 of the family's 1533-position model. The record is from RNAcentral.